RNAcentral lists this long non-coding RNA (1098 nucleotides) under Equus caballus (horse). RNAcentral describes it as "lncRNA (ENSECAG00000055549.1)". Lineage: Eukaryota; Metazoa; Chordata; Mammalia; Perissodactyla; Equidae. The record is from RNAcentral.
GGUUGGUUUGCUUACAUAGGCUGCCGCGGCGUUAGAGCCACGUCAAUCUAAUGGCCUCCUUGCUGAAUUAAUUGAAUACUCUAAACCCAGAGGCCUGUGAGUGAUGGAAACAAGCGGUGACAUUGCCUGACUUCGCCAAGUAGAGCUCUCGCAAAUAAUGCUGGCAGACUCUGGGACCAUAUAAAUAGAAACUGUUAUUUGAGAAGCAGCAGAGUCUUUCCUGCUAUAACAACCACUGGAGGGUGCUUGCUGAGCAUCUAAUCUGAGAAGAUGACCUCACCCGAGCCAGCUCACCAAGUCUUCUCAUGAUCCUUCAAAAGAUUGCACAAUGGCAAUGAGAGCCCAACGGGGAUGACACACGACCAGCCCACUUCCCUGAACAUACCUGGGGCUUGUGAUCCAGCCACCUGGACUGAUAACACAACAUUUGGGGGCUUGUUAGGAAACUAUGCGGUUGCUUAAUUGCGACUAAGGAACCAAAGCCAGGCUUCUGUUUAUGAUUGGCAGCGUGGUCUCAAGGCAUCCGUCCUGAGUCAGACAACUUCAGAAGAUGCCCCCUCCCCGCCUUUCCAACGUCCCUCUGACUCAAAGCUCUGGAGGGUGGUCCCACUGGGUGGGGCUGGGGGGCGGAGGUGUUCUUCAAGACGCUGCUUGUGGGAUUGCUUUUUGGCAGGAAGAUCACAGAGUCGAAUACAAUGAAACUCUGUCCGGAGAGCUAGCCUCUCAGGGGCUGUUGCUGCUCUCUCUUGGCUGGCAGAGUUUGAGAAUCCAUUACAUGUGAUGAAAGGUCUAAACAGAGCCAGGAUUUUAUUCCUGCCUACAAGACCCCUGGAGAUGCUGCAUUUCCAAAGAAACGGCUUAUUUCAUAAGACUCUGAGAAAGUGGGCUCUGGGCUUCUAAUAAGAGGAGGAAAUAUUCUAUUCUUUUAAAAUUAUGUUUGAAUCAUUGUAGUUUAACUAGAUAUUUUCCAUUGGAAAUGAUUCCCUUUGCAUCUUUCCGCCGCAGGACCACAGGCUAACAGAUGUGUUUCAGUGAAAUGCACCCAGCACGAAGCCUGGAACACAGUAGGCGCUCAUUAAGCGCUUUCUUCCAUCUGCC